This 489-nucleotide ribosomal RNA is filed under the name Lacticaseibacillus rhamnosus. Its description in RNAcentral is "bacterial SSU rRNA". It matches the Rfam family "Bacterial small subunit ribosomal RNA", at positions 39 to 512 of the family's 1533-position model. The record is from RNAcentral. Lineage: Bacteria; Bacillati; Bacillota; Bacilli; Lactobacillales; Lactobacillaceae.
GCAGUCGANGAGUUCUGAUUAUUGAAAGGUGCUUGCAUCUUGAUUUAAUUUUGAACGAGUGGCGGACGGGUGAGUAACACGUGGGUAACCUGCCCUUAAGUGGGGGAUAACAUUUGGAAACAGAUGCUAAUACCGCAUAAAUCCAAGAACCGCAUGGUUCUUGGCUGAAAGAUGGCGUAAGCUAUCGCUUUUGGAUGGACCCGCGGCGUAUUAGCUAGUUGGUGAGGUAACGGCUCACCAAGGCAAUGAUACGUAGCCGAACUGAGAGGUUGAUCGGCCACAUUGGGACUGAGACACGGCCCAAACUCCUACGGGAGGCAGCAGUAGGGAAUCUUCCACAAUGGACGCAAGUCUGAUGGAGCAACGCCGCGUGAGUGAAGAAGGCUUUCGGGUCGUAAAACUCUGUUGUUGGAGAAGAAUGGUCGGCAGAGUAACUGUUGUCGGCGUGACGGUAUCCAACCAGAAAGCCACGGCUAACUACGUGCCAGC